GCCGGUGUGGCGGAAUUGGCAGACGCAGCAGACUCAAAAUCUGCCAGUCGCGAGGCUGUAUGGGUUCGAGUCCCAUCACCGGCA
RNAcentral lists this transfer RNA (84 nucleotides) under Lachnospiraceae bacterium. Its description in RNAcentral is "tRNA-Leu". It matches the Rfam family "tRNA". Rfam says of the family: Transfer RNA (tRNA) molecules are approximately 80 nucleotides in length. Their secondary structure includes four short double-helical elements and three loops (D, anti-codon, and T loops). Lineage: Bacteria; Bacillati; Bacillota; Clostridia; Lachnospirales; Lachnospiraceae. The record is from RNAcentral.